GGGCUCUCCACCGCGCUCCUAGAGCCUCUCACCAGGCCGCCACCGCCCCGCCCCCGCCCCCGUCACCAAAGAGCAAACCCUCUCCUCCCAGGGGCCUGGCACGACCAGGUUCCAGCAUGGAAGAAGAGGAGCCAGGAGUCAGGAGAACUGAAACCUGGGCUCGGAGGAGGCUGGAGGCUGGCGAGGGUCAGCGCCUGCCUCGCUCCGAGAGCCGUCCGCGGCCACCUGAGUCGGUCUCCGCGCCGCAGGUGCCAGGCCAGCCCUCUCCAACUCCCGGAGAGGUAGUAAGUGUAAGGCUUGGAGGCCCGCGCAGCCCAGCCCGCGCCGGGGCGGUGGGUGGGUGGGUGUCUGCUGUGGGAUUAUUCUUAGCGCUCCACUCUCUUUGCAAAAGUGGCGCCUCCGCCCUCCAGGCUCCGGCACGCUCGCUCCGGGCUCGCACGCCCGGCCCAGACACCGGCGCGGAGGAGGGCACCGGGUGGGGUCCGCGAGGGGUGAGACGGCGCGGAGGCGCAGGAGAGGCGGGGGCUCCCGGAGAGGAGGGGGCGCUGCGGGAGGGGCCCCGGCGACAGGCUGCGUUUAACCCUCGGCGCCCCGCACCCAGCCCUGCGCCGCGCGCUCAGCCGCCUCCCCGGACUCCUCCCGGGACGCGGGGAGCCGGGCGGCGGCGCGCCCAGCCCUUACCUAUGGUGGUGAUGACCGUGAUGGCAAAGUAGAAGGAGCCGGCGAAUUUCCACUGGACGCCAGCGCGGUGCGGCUCCGACUGCAGGAUCACCAGCUCCAGCUGCCGGUAGUCCUCGCUGCUUAUGUUGUACUUGCCCUUGAUCCGGACCUCCUCCGCUUUGAGUUUUUCCUCCUCGCGCAUCUCGUGGUCCGACUCGAGGGCGUCGAAGACGGCGGCGCCCACCAGCAGAUGGGAACACUUCCAACGAGAGAGGAUCACGUGCCCAGGGACACAGGCAAUUCGGAUCCAGAACCAGCACUGAACUUCCUCCUGGCUUCUGUCCUGCGUUCCUUCAAGGACCCAGCUGCCUUCUGACCCCAAGUUCACAGUGCCACGAAUAGCCACAGACCACUCCCAAACGCCGUUUCUUCCUUUACUUCCCCCCGCCCCCCCCCCCACAUAUGGCCUUUGGACUCAAGAGAAACAAGCCUGGGAGCCGGGCCUCUGGGGGGUUCUUGGUCGGGGAGGGGGGUAAAAGGAGGGUUUCCUGGUCUGUCCAUCCAGCACCCACACUCCUCUCCUCACCCUACACUCUCCUUCCAUGGUCUUGACCUGCAGGUGGAAGUGAACUCGUUGAAGCAGAGCCUGGGUCUUGACAUCUUCCCUGUGUCCCCAGCACUCAUCCCCAAGGCAGGUGCUCAGCUAGCACUGCGGGUUGCUGCCGCAUGACAGUCCAGAAGGCGGUUAGGCUGGUGGCAGUGCGUCUGGGGAGACCACCUUCCCUCUCUGCCCCUGUGGUCUGGGAGCACCAACUCCAGCUCAGCCUAGAGGUGGAUUCAGAGCUCAGGUGUGGCCAAUCAGAGCCAGGUUUCCCCCAGCCACGGUGAUUGGCUGGGCGUGGCUCACCUCUCAACCAAUGAGAACCCUGGGAAAGAAUUUCUUUGAGGAGUGGGAGGGAGGCAGGUACUGAGACUGCAGGUUCUUUACACACAGUGGGCGUGUCCGUAGCCCCUGGGGCUAAGAAUCACUACCCUGUGUUACCCAGAGAGGCCGACCAGCUUAUUCGGGCCCCUCAGUGAGUCAGUGGAUCUCACUCCCAGUCUAGUGCUGCUUCUACAUCAGCGCUAUGUGUCUGUGAAAGACUCAGCUGCGGGCGGGAAGCGGGGAGGUACCGUGCUCUAGGCCAGCCACCCAGUGCAGCACGUCACGCCUCCGUGCCUUUGCUCACGCCGUUCCCUCUGCCUGUAUACCUUUCCCUGUCCUCUUCAGGCUCCCGUCUCCUCAUCUUUCAAGGUUCACCUCUGGCAGCAUCUCCUCCAGAAGCUUCCCCUGUGCCCAGCCUGGAUGAGGCGCCUGUGUCUCUGCACAUACUUCUAUCCUGUGACCCCUUUGGUGCCAGUCACACCUCCCCUGCCAGACUGUGAGCUCCUUGAGGGCAGGGGCCAUGCCGGCCUCAACUUGGUCAUGCAGGACCUUCCACACAGUAGGUGCACAAUAAAUGUUUGUUAAAAACUAAA
This is a long non-coding RNA of Globicephala melas (long-finned pilot whale), 2178 nucleotides long. RefSeq lists it as uncharacterized. Lineage: Eukaryota; Metazoa; Chordata; Mammalia; Artiodactyla; Delphinidae. The record is from RefSeq and is a predicted model, not a curated record.